GAUGAACGCUGGCGGCGUGCUUAACACAUGCAAGUCGAACGGUGAAGGCGGAGCUUGCUCUGCUGGAUCAGUGGCGAACGGGUGAGUAACACGUGAGCAAUCUGCCCCUGACUCUGGGAUAAGCGCUGGAAACGGCGUCUAAUACUGGAUACGAGCUGCGAAGGCAUCUUCAGCAGCUGGAAAGAAUUUCGGUCAGGGAUGAGCUCGCGGCCUAUCAGCUUGUUGGUGAGGUAACGGCUCACCAAGGCGUCGACGGGUAGCCGGCCUGAGAGGAUGACCGGCCACACUGGGACUGAGACACGGCCCAGACUCCUACGGGAGGCAGCAGUGGGGAAUAUUGCACAAUGGGCGAAAGCCUGAUGCAGCAACGCCGCGUGAGGGACGACGGCCUUCGGGUUGUAACCUACUUUAGCGUAGGAAGAAGCGAACGUAGACGGUACGUGCAGAAAAGCGCCGGCUACGUAACGU
This 468-nucleotide ribosomal RNA is filed under the name uncultured bacterium. RNAcentral's name for it is "bacterial SSU rRNA". It matches the Rfam family "Bacterial small subunit ribosomal RNA", at positions 28 to 506 of the family's 1533-position model. The record is from RNAcentral.